GCAUUGCUGAUGAGACCCAAAUAGGUCGAAACAACCGUACAAUGC
Echinostoma caproni is the source of this 45-nucleotide non-coding RNA. Lineage: Eukaryota; Metazoa; Platyhelminthes; Trematoda; Plagiorchiida; Echinostomatidae. The record is from Rfam.